AUACGUAGGUGGCAAGCGUUGUCCGGAAUUAUUGGGCGUAAAGCGCGCGCAGGCGGUCCUUUAAGUCUGAUGUGAAAGCCCACGGCUCAACCGUGGAGGGUCAUUGGAAACUGGGGGACUUGAGUGCAGAAGAGGAAAGUGGAAUUCCAAGUGUAGCGGUGAAAUGCGUAGAGAUUUGGAGGAACACCAGUGGCGAAGGCGACGUGCUGGGCUGUAACUGACGCUGAGGCGAGAAAGCGUGGGGAGCAAACAGGAUGAGAUACCCUGGUAGUCCACGCCGUAAACGAUGAGUGCUAAGUGUUAGGGGGUUUCCGCCCCUUAGUGCUGCAGCUAACGCAUUAAGCACUCCGCCUGGGGAGUACGGUCGCAAGACUGAAACUCAAAUGAAUUGACGGG
Molecule: ribosomal RNA, 396 nt
Filed under: uncultured bacterium
Lineage: Bacteria
Description: partial 16S ribosomal RNA
Rfam family: Bacterial small subunit ribosomal RNA
Source: RNAcentral